UACGUAGGGAGCAAGCGUUGUCCGGAAUUACUGGGCGUAAAGGGCGCGUAGGUGGGCGCUUAAGUCAGGUGUGAAAACUCCGGGCUCAACCUGGAGACUGCACUUGAAACUGGGUGUCUUGAGGGCAGGAGAGGAAAGUGGAAUUCCUAGUGUAGCGGUGAAAUGCGUAGAUAUUAGGAGGAACACCAGUGGCGAAGGCGGCUCUCUGGUCUGCAACUGACGCUGAGGCUCGAAAGCAUGGGUAGCGAACAGG
RNAcentral lists this ribosomal RNA (253 nucleotides) under uncultured Dehalobacterium sp. RNAcentral's name for it is "partial 16S ribosomal RNA". It matches the Rfam family "Bacterial small subunit ribosomal RNA", at positions 524 to 776 of the family's 1533-position model. The record is from RNAcentral. Lineage: Bacteria; Bacillati; Bacillota; Clostridia; Eubacteriales; Peptococcaceae.